CGGACGGGUGAGUAAUGUCUGGGAAACUGCCUGAUGGAGGGGGAUAACUACUGGAAACGGUAGCUAAUACCGCAUAACGUCGCAAGACCAAAGAGGGGGACCUUCGGGCCUCUUGCCAUCGGAUGUGCCCAGAUGGGAUUAGCUAGUAGGUGGGGUAACGGCUCACCAGGCGACGAUCCCUAGCUGGUCUGAGAGGAUGCCAGCCACACUGGAACUGAGACACGGUCCAG
Molecule: ribosomal RNA, 230 nt
Filed under: uncultured bacterium
Lineage: Bacteria
Description: partial 16S ribosomal RNA
Rfam family: Bacterial small subunit ribosomal RNA
Source: RNAcentral